UACGUAGGGGGCAAGCGUUGUCCGGAUUCAUUGGGCGUAAAGAGCGUGUAGGCGGCCAGGUAGGUCGGUUGUGAAAACUGGAGGCUCAACCUUCAGAGGUCGACCGAAACCAUCUGGCUAGAGUCCGGGAGAGGAGAGUGGAAUUCCUGGUGUAGCGGUGAAAUGCGCAGAUAUCAGGAAGAACACCCGUGGCGAAAGCGGCUCUCUGGACAGUUACUGACACUGAGGCACGAAGGCCAGGGGAGCAAACGGG
RNAcentral lists this ribosomal RNA (253 nucleotides) under uncultured bacterium. RNAcentral describes it as "partial 16S ribosomal RNA". It matches the Rfam family "Bacterial small subunit ribosomal RNA", at positions 524 to 776 of the family's 1533-position model. The record is from RNAcentral.